GUUAUUUUAGUAAAUAAAAUAUGGUGAAACUGCUGAGAAUGAUGAUAGCACAAGCUACGGACACAACCUUUAAUUUAACCUUUCUUUUUCUCUCUCAUCUCUUCUCCUUCUUCUUCUUUCCCUUCUUUCCCUUCCAGCCGCACCUCUCUCCCUCUCUGCCUCACUCAUCUCCAUCUCCCUCUCUGCCUCACUCACUCGAUCUCCUUGAAUGGUGAAGUCUGGUGAGCAUAUAUGAGAACCUUGAAGUUUGGUUUGAUCGGUCUGGGUUUCUGGGUUUCUGUUGGGUCUUGAUCGGUUUCUGUUGGGUCGGUCUGGGUUUUUGCUGCAUCGCCUCAUCUUCUCCGAGUUCUCUGUUUGGGUCCCAAGAAACGGAGGAAAACGAAGAUGCGAAAAUUUUUCCUGUUAUUUUUUUUCCGAGUUUUCAUCUCGCUGGAAGAGGGCUGGUUCAGCUUUGCCUAAGGCGCUGCCCACUGCACGACGACGGUGGCUCAACCACCGUUCUUCAGUGUCUCUCUCUCGGCUUGAACAGAGCGCUCACCAUUCUCUCUCAAUCUCGAGAGGUUGUGUUCAGAGAGUUUUUGCAGCUAGAAGGUUACGGCGAUAAUGGAGUUGUGAACGUAGCGAUGGAUUAUGUGAGGAGAAUUUAACUUUCCGACGUCAAAUCUUUUUGAAAAAGAAUACCUAAUAGUUGCUGCACAUUGGCAGCGCUGACAAGUCAUGCGAAAUUCGUAGAAAUUUGUAGAGUUGAUCUUAAUCCAUCUUUCCGACGAUCAGGAUCAACACUACGAAUUUAUACGAAUUUUGUAUGGUUUGUGAACGCUGCCAAUGUGCAGCGACUGUUGCGUCUUCUUUUUCAAAAAGAGUUGCACCAAAAGUCGACUUGCUCUUUAUCAAUUUUUGACUUGUGUAUUUUAAUUUUUCAUGAUGGUGGAUUUGUGGGAAUUCAGUAUAAAGAUGUGAUAUCGGGUUAUUUAGUGAAAUGGGAAUAAUCAUAAUAUAAUAAUAAUUAAGUGUAUUAAACACUUAUUUCCAAUUUA
Molecule: long non-coding RNA, 1037 nt
Organism: Corylus avellana
Lineage: Eukaryota; Viridiplantae; Streptophyta; Magnoliopsida; Fagales; Betulaceae
Source: RefSeq, a predicted model, not a curated record